This 819-nucleotide long non-coding RNA is filed under the name Sorghum bicolor (sorghum). RNAcentral's name for it is "long non-coding RNA (SBIC_LNC009384)". The record is from RNAcentral. Lineage: Eukaryota; Viridiplantae; Streptophyta; Magnoliopsida; Poales; Poaceae.
AAGCAAUUGGACUUUCACUAAAAGAAGAUAUGUUUUAGCUUUGCAUUACAAAACAUGAGAAAGAAGAGAGGGCAUUCUUUUUGUGAUAUAUAAAUUGCAGAUGCCAUUUUUAAACGUAUCAGGUCGUAUGUCCGAGGAAUGCUGAGAAGGCUUUGCACCUGUCAACAGUGGAAGGUCGCAAAUUACACAAGGUCAAUUCACACGCAUCAGCUCCUCAUUAGUUAAUGAAUACCAGAAGCAUAAGACAUGUAUAAAAAAAAUUAAAGCAAAAAACUAAAGAACACAAGUCUAGAAUAAUUUAUUUAUAUUGACGCAAAUAAAAAUAAAUAAAACAUGGAGCGCAAAAAAUAAAAUUAUUUGAGUAUACCCAACAUUAAUCAACAAUUUGGGACGUCUUUAUAAACAUUAUUCUUGGUGUUAUUCCCCCUUGGAAUAUAUGGUUUAGUCAAACUCUUGAUCUUGACACACCCCUCGACAAUGCAACAUACCUAUUUAAUGUAAUAAAUCUUUAUAAUUCUCUUUAUAAUUUUGAUCAAACUUUAAAUGCUUUGAUUUUCCAAGAUUCUUAGAAUAACUUAUAAUUUGGAAUGGAGGGAGUAUCUUGCAAACCUGAAAUUCAAAUUGACAUUCAUUUUCAGAAAUAGCAGCAGAAUAUAUGUAGGAGUAUUAAUGAAUUAAAAGCAUAAUUACCAACCUCUACAGGAAGAUAAAUUGGCUUCUGCUCACUGCCAACAACCCAACACCGAUGCAUGGGAGAGGUUAAAACCUAAUAUUUUAAGGAUCUAAGAAACAUUUAAUUAGAAGUGCUGAUUUUUUUAA